RNAcentral lists this non-coding RNA (26 nucleotides) under Mus musculus (house mouse). The record is from RNAcentral. Lineage: Eukaryota; Metazoa; Chordata; Mammalia; Rodentia; Muridae.
AGACGGUGAGCAAGGGUGGGUUUGAG